UACGAAGGGGGCUAGCGUUGCUCGGAAUCACUGGGCGUAAAGCGCACGUAGGCGGAUUGCUAAGUCAGGGGUGAAAUCCUGGAGCUCAACUCCAGAACUGCCUUUGAUACUGGCGACCUUGAGUCCGGGAGAGGUGAGUGGAACUGCGAGUGUAGAGGUGAAAUUCGUAGAUAUUCGCAAGAACACCAGUGGCGAAGGCGGCUCACUGGCCCGGUACUGACGCUGAGGUGCGAAAGCGUGGGGGGCGAACAGG
Molecule: ribosomal RNA, 253 nt
Filed under: uncultured bacterium
Lineage: Bacteria
Description: partial 16S ribosomal RNA
Rfam family: Bacterial small subunit ribosomal RNA
Source: RNAcentral